RNAcentral lists this ribosomal RNA (301 nucleotides) under uncultured bacterium. RNAcentral describes it as "partial 16S ribosomal RNA". It matches the Rfam family "Bacterial small subunit ribosomal RNA", at positions 509 to 809 of the family's 1533-position model. The record is from RNAcentral.
CAGCAGCCGCGGUAAAACGAAGGGUGCAAGCGUUACUCGGAAUUACUGGGCGUAAAGCGUGCGUAGGUGGUGGUUUAAGUCCGUUGUGAAAGCCCUGGGCUCAACCUGGGAAUUGCAGUGGAUACUGGGUCACUAGAGUGUGGUAGAGGAUAGUGGAAUUUCCGGUGUAGCAGUGAAAUGCGUAGAGAUCGGAAGGAACAUCUGUGGCGAAGGCGACUAUCUGGGCCAACACUGACACUGAGGCACGAAAGCGUGGGGAGCAAACAGGAUUAGAUACCCGGGUAGUCCCUGUCUCUUAUAA